GCGCUCACUUUGGAAGCACAUAUACUAAAAUUGAAAUGACACAGAAGAUUUGCAUAGCCCCUGCAAAAGGAUGAGAUGCAAAUUUGUGAAGUGUUCCAUGAAAAA
Molecule: small nuclear RNA, 105 nt
Filed under: Castor canadensis (American beaver)
Lineage: Eukaryota; Metazoa; Chordata; Mammalia; Rodentia; Castoridae
Source: RNAcentral